Molecule: long non-coding RNA, 992 nt
Organism: Drosophila arizonae
Lineage: Eukaryota; Metazoa; Arthropoda; Insecta; Diptera; Drosophilidae
Source: RefSeq, a predicted model, not a curated record
AAAAAUUGAAGAAGAAGAAUUGAAAAGAAAACAACAAAAUAAAAGUAAUCGUGUGGUUUAUGUGACUUGGGACAGUAAAAAACAUGAAAUUGGGUCAAUAAUUCAAGGUCGCCAUUGUGUGGAGUCCAAAUUAACCUGUGAAAAUGGGUGGCUCGGGUGGGAUAUACUCAAAUGUCGAAACUGAAUUUUGAAGGCGAAUAAUGUGUCUGAAGUCUUUGGCUUCGAUAGAAAUAAUAUGGAAGAACGUGAAAAUAGUGCGGUCAUGAGAAAAUACUUAAGCAAGAGAUAAAAGAACCUAUGAUUCCUAAAUUCAAUGAUUUUUUGAUGCCAAGACCAAUUUAAUUAAAUGUUGGGGCACCUGGAAGGUCACUUCCGAAUACAAUUGAAUCGCAUCAAAAUGUUCAGAAUAAGGAAAUUUGGGCUGUUACUAAGGGUGGGCUUGACAAUUUACCGAUUUCAUGUCGAGACACUGGCACCGUUACGAAGGAUACUAAUGAGAAUUGGGAUGCCACCCAUGGUGGACGUAUAAUUUUACCAUUGCGUCGUGGUGGCUGCUCUCAAGUCUCACCAAAGUCCAAAGUGAAGGAUACUCAAUUGUUGCCAACUCCUUUCAGCGAUAUGCGCAAUCUUCAGGUAGCUAGCCGAAGACGAAUGCUUGAGGAUGUGGGUUACCAAAUCGCUCCUUUCCCAAGAAGAAUUUUUAGUUCUUUGGAUAAUCCAUCGGCUACUCCAAAAAGGAUGGGAAAUCAUUUGGGAAAUCCAAUGGCCACACCUCGUUGGAAAGUGAACGACAGCCUAAAAGAUAUCGUGUAGUUCGACCCUCGUCAGUGAAAUACCUGAGUGGUAUGCUCACCGCUUGUCAAAAACUGCAACAGAUCAGGUUGGUGAUUUGAUUUAUGACCGGUAUUUUAUCUUGACAAACAUGACAGUCAGUCGUCUGACAUCCGUUUGGCUUUGCUGGGACAUUUAGCUGGCGCAAUUUAUUUCGGCAC